This 497-nucleotide ribosomal RNA is filed under the name uncultured bacterium. RNAcentral describes it as "partial 16S ribosomal RNA". It matches the Rfam family "Bacterial small subunit ribosomal RNA", at positions 28 to 507 of the family's 1533-position model. The record is from RNAcentral.
GAUGAACGCUGGCGGCGUGCCUAAUACAUGCAAGUCGAGCGAACAGACGAGGAGCUUGCUCCUCUGACGUUAGCGGCGGACGGGUGAGUAACACGUGGAUAACCUACCUAUAAGACUGGGAUAACUUCGGGAAACCGGAGCUACUACCGGCUAAUAUAUUGAACCGCAUGGUUCAAUAGUGAAAGACGGUUUUGCUGUCACUUAUAGAUGGAUCCGCGCCGCAUUAGCUAGUUGGUAAGGUAACGGCUUACCAAGGCAACGAUGCGUAGCCGACCUGAGAGGGUGAUCGGCCACACUGGAACUGAGACACGGUCCAGACUCCUACGGGAGGCAGCAGUAGGGAAUCUUCCGCAAUGGGCGAAAGCCUGACGGAGCAACGCCGCGUGAGUGAUGAAGGUCUUCGGAUCGUAAAACUCUGUUAUUAGGGAAGAACAAAUGUGUAAGUAACUAUGCACGGCUUGACGGUACCUAAUCAGAAAGCCACGGCUAACUACGUG